AGUGAACGCUGGCGGUAGGCCUAACACAUGCAAGUCGAACGGCAGCACAGUAAGAGCUUGCUCUUACGGGUGGCGAGUGGCGGACGGGUGAGGAAUACAUCGGAAUCUACUUUUUCGUGGGGGAUAACGUAGGGAAACUUACGCUAAUACCGCAUACGACCUACGGGUGAAAGCAGGGGAUCUUCGGACCUUGCGCGAUUGAAUGAGCCGAUGUCGGAUUAGCUAGUUGGCGGGGUAAAGGCCCACCAAGGCGACGAUCCGUAGCUGGUCUGAGAGGAUGAUCAGCCACACUGGAACUGAGACACGGGCCAGACUCCUACGGGAGGCAGCAGUGGGGAAUAUUGGACAAUGGGCGCAAGCCUGAUCCAGCCAUACCGCGUGGGUGAAGAAGGCCUUCGGGUUGUAAAGCCCUUUUGUUGGGAAAGAAAAGCAGCAGGUUAAUACCCCGCUGUUCUGACGGGACCCAAAGAAUAAGCACCGGCUAACUGCGU
This 491-nucleotide ribosomal RNA is filed under the name uncultured bacterium. RNAcentral describes it as "partial 16S ribosomal RNA". It matches the Rfam family "Bacterial small subunit ribosomal RNA", at positions 29 to 506 of the family's 1533-position model. The record is from RNAcentral.